This 776-nucleotide ribosomal RNA is filed under the name uncultured Neocallimastigales. RNAcentral describes it as "partial large subunit ribosomal RNA". It matches the Rfam family "Eukaryotic large subunit ribosomal RNA", at positions 26 to 631 of the family's 3401-position model. Lineage: Eukaryota; Fungi; Neocallimastigomycota; Neocallimastigomycetes; Neocallimastigales. The record is from RNAcentral.
CGCAUCUGUGCAUGCAGCAUAUCAAUAAGCGGAGGAAAAGAAACUAACAAGGAUUCCCUUAGUAACGGCGAGUGAAGCGGGAAGAGCUCAAAUUUGAAAUCUUCAAGGUUUUACCUUGACGAAUUGUAGUUUAAAGAAGUGUUUUCUGUUGAAGUUUUGGUAAAAGUUCUUUGGAAUAGGACAUCAUAGAGGGUGAGAAUCCCGUAUUUGACCAUUAUUUUCAGCUGUGUGAUACACUUUCAAAGAGUCGGAUUGUUUGGGAAUGCAGUCCAAAAUGGGUGGUAAAUUUCAUCUAAAGCUAAAUAUUGGCGAGAGACCGAUAGCGAACAAGUACCGCGAGGGAAAGAUGAAAAGAACUUUGAAAAGAGAGUUAAACAGUACGUGAAAUUGUCAAAAGGGAAGCGUUUGACACCAGUGUUGUUUUCUCGAAAAUCAAUUAAAAAGAGUUAGAUUUUGUGUUGUAUUGACCUUAACAGCUUGCAUUCACUCUUUCUCAGCUUUUUUUAAUGCACUUUUCGUUUAACAAGUCAACAUCAGUUUCUUUUGUUGUAAAAGGGUCAUUGGAAGGUGGCUUUCUCUUCGGAGAAAGUGUUUAUAUCCUUUGAUCUCCUGCAAUCGGAGAGACUGAGGUCUGCAGCGUAGAUCCUUCGGGGUUAGAUACAUUUGUGCUAAGUUAUAGCUUUUUAUAGACAACUUGUUGACUAUGAUUAGUCUUGUAGCUUACUCGCUUAUGCUAUUUUACCUACGCUUAGGAUGUUGACGCGCGUGUGUGCGUG